GGACCCGUGGCCUAGUCUGGAUAUGGCACAACCCUCCUAAGGUUGGGAACGUGAGUUCGAAUCUCACCGGGUCCG
Molecule: transfer RNA, 75 nt
Filed under: Candidatus Woesearchaeota archaeon
Lineage: Archaea; Nanobdellati; Candidatus Woesearchaeota
Description: tRNA-Arg
Rfam family: tRNA
About the family: Transfer RNA (tRNA) molecules are approximately 80 nucleotides in length. Their secondary structure includes four short double-helical elements and three loops (D, anti-codon, and T loops). Further hydrogen bonds mediate the characteristic L-shaped molecular structure. tRNAs have two regions of fundamental functional importance: the anti-codon, which is responsible for specific mRNA codon recognition, and the 3' end, to which the tRNAs corresponding amino acid is attached (by aminoacyl-tRNA synthetases). tRNAs cope with the degeneracy of the genetic code in two manners: having more than one tRNA (with a specific anti-codon) for a particular amino acid; and 'wobble' base-pairing, i.e. permitting non-standard base-pairing at the 3rd anti-codon position.
Source: RNAcentral